RNAcentral lists this ribosomal RNA (373 nucleotides) under uncultured eukaryote. Its description in RNAcentral is "partial 18S ribosomal RNA". It matches the Rfam family "Eukaryotic small subunit ribosomal RNA", at positions 592 to 976 of the family's 1831-position model. The record is from RNAcentral.
CAAUAGCGUAUAUUAAAGUUGUUGCAGUUAAAAAGCUCGUAGUUGAAUUUUUGCUUGCCGCCGAUGUCGGAACUUCCGUACGUUCGGCGGCGUGCAUCCUUGGGUGGAACCUGUGUGGCAUUAGGUUGUCGUGCAGGGGAUGCUCAUCGUUUACUGUGAAAAAAUUAGAGUGUUCAAAGCAGGCUUACGCCGUUGAAUAUAUUAGCAUGGAAUAAUAAGAUAGGACCUCGGUACUAUUUUGUUGGUUUGCGCACCGAGGUAAUGAUUAACAGGGACAGUUGGGGGUAUUCGUAUUCCAUUGUCAGAGGUGAAAUUCUUGGAUUUCUGGAAGACGAACUACUGCGAAAGCAUUUACCAAGGAUGUUUUCAUUAA